RNAcentral lists this ribosomal RNA (586 nucleotides) under fungal sp. ZH S70-5-1. RNAcentral's name for it is "eukaryotic LSU rRNA". The stretch from base 224 to 377 matches the Rfam family "5.8S ribosomal RNA". The record is from RNAcentral. Lineage: Eukaryota; Fungi.
CCCAUACCAUUUGCCAACCUACCUAGCUAUGCCUCGGCGUAAGCGUGGCAAGGAGGCGUGCCGGCGGAAGCCAGCUACCCUGUAGCAGUUACCCUGUAGCUACCCUGUAGCUACCCUGUAGCGUUGGCCUCCCGCUCGGCGUGCCGUUCCUGCCACAGCCCGCCGGUGGUACACUAAAUUCUUGUUUUAACUGGAUCGUCUGAGUCUUAUUUUAAUAAAUCAAAACUUUCAACAACGGAUCUCUUGGUUCUGGCAUCGAUGAAGAACGCAGCGAAAUGCGAUAAGUAAUGUGAAUUGCAGAAUUCAGUGAAUCAUCGAAUCUUUGAACGCACAUUGCGCCCAUUAGUAUUCUAGUGGGCAUGCCUGUUCGAGCGUCAUUUCAACCCUUAAGCCUAGCUUAGUGUUGGGAAUCUACUGUACUGUAGUUCCUUAAAGACAGUGGCGGAGUGCUAGUUGUCCUCUGAGCGUAGUAAUUUGUUUCUCGCUUUUGUCAGGCGCUGGCCUCCCGCCAUAAAACCCCUAUUUUUUUUGUGGUUGACCUCGGAUCAGGUAGGAAUACCCGCUGAACUUAAGCAUAUCAAUAAGC